AUCACCUAGGGAUCUUGUUAAAAUGUGAACUCUGAUUCAAUGAGUCUAGAGCGGGCCUGAGAUCUGGCAUUUCUAGCAAGCUCCAAAGUGAUGUUGA
RNAcentral lists this microRNA precursor (97 nucleotides) under Tupaia belangeri chinensis (Chinese tree shrew). RNAcentral's name for it is "Tupaia chinensis (Chinese tree shrew) mir-544 microRNA precursor family". It matches the Rfam family "mir-544 microRNA precursor family". Lineage: Eukaryota; Metazoa; Chordata; Mammalia; Scandentia; Tupaiidae. The record is from Rfam by way of RNAcentral.